CGAAAGCCUGACGGAGCAACGCCGCGUGAGGGAUGAAGGCCUCUGGGCUGUAAACCUCUUUUAUCAAGGAAGAAGAUCUGACGGUACUUGAUGAAUAAGCCACGGCUAAUUCCGUGCCAGCCGCCGCGGUAAUACGGGAGUGGCAAGCGUUAUCCGGAAUUAUUGGGCGUAAAGCGUCCGCAGGCGGUCUUUUAAGUCUGUCGUCAAAGCGUGGAGCUUAACUCCAUUACUGCGAUGGAAACUGGAAGACUAGAGUGUGGUAGGGGCAGAGGGAAUUCCCGGUGUGGCGGUGAAAUGCGUAGAUAUCGGGAAGAACACCAGUGGCGAAGGCGCUCUGCUGGGCCAUAACUGACGCUCAUGGACGAAAGCCAGGGGAGCG
RNAcentral lists this ribosomal RNA (379 nucleotides) under uncultured cyanobacterium. Its description in RNAcentral is "bacterial SSU rRNA". It matches the Rfam family "Bacterial small subunit ribosomal RNA", at positions 376 to 770 of the family's 1533-position model. Lineage: Bacteria; Bacillati; Cyanobacteriota. The record is from RNAcentral.